ACAAAGUACAACAAGCAAUUAGAGAGAUGAUUUGAGGGGUGGCAGGACAUAUCUUCACAAGGAGAAGGUUCACCAACACAGAACAUCUGAAAAAUGAAAAGCGCUUUGGGUUUCGUAGAGGCAAGAAUAUGAGAGAGUCAUCUACUUUGGGAGUCUUGAGAAAGGGUGGAGGACACCAGCCUUCCUUUGGAAUAGACAGGGUAUGGUGGUCCUUAGAACAGUAUAAGGUGGCAGACUUUGGAAAAUCAACCGAUAAAGAGUUUUCUUAACCAUGUACAUUUACCAGGCGCACAGGGAUCAAGUAAAGUUUUACAUUUGUCUCCACUGCAGACCAGAAAACCACAUUGAACUCUGUUAUUUUACAACUCAAGGAGAGAUGAUUCUGCCCAAAAGGAAGAACAAAGCAGUGAAAAAGGGAAGAAACGAAGGCAUGGAAGGCUAUUCAGGCCAUGGAGUCAAGGGAAUUUGGUCAUUGAUAGGCUUGUUUUCCAGAUUCUAUUUCUGCUCACAAAUGGGACCAGUGUCAGAGCACAGCCCACAGCCCUUCAGAAUGCACAGUCCCGUGCUCUGCCCUUCCAGAGUGCAGGAUGAGGACCUGAAAGAUCCUCAAGUGACGCUAACGACCAACAUGAUGGAGAAUUACUCAGAAGAGAAGAAGGACCUAGCCAUGGCUGUCCUCGGUGCAGUGCAAAGCUCAGGAACGAUGGGGGGAAAGGUAAGUGUAAGCAUCCCCUACUGCCCCUCUACUUGAAACUGGUUCAUGUUCUACCCAAAAGGACUCCAGGGGGAGUUCCCUUGCCUGCAUGGAGCCAGGCAGUGUGUGACUCUAGGACAAAAUGCGCCAGAUUCACAUGCUGAAGGUGAGCUCAGGCUGCAUCCAGACGAAGAUCCAGGCCCCUGCGAGUGCCACAGACGGGGGUGAGUCUUAGUUCUUUCCUUGUAAUUCGUAAUGGCUUGCCAUGGCAAAAACAAGACUGGAGACCUGGAGGAGGCUCCUGGCUCCUGGCUCCUGGCUUCGGAUCGGCGCAGCUCUGGCCUUUGCGGCCAUAUGGGGAGUGAACCACUGGAUGAAAGGGCUUUCUCUCUCUGCCUCUGCUUCUCUAUAACUGCCUUUCAAAUAAAUAAACCUUUAAAAAU
Molecule: long non-coding RNA, 1137 nt
Filed under: Oryctolagus cuniculus (rabbit)
Lineage: Eukaryota; Metazoa; Chordata; Mammalia; Lagomorpha; Leporidae
Description: lncRNA (ENSOCUG00000038222.1)
Source: RNAcentral